GACGAACGCUGGCGGCGUGCUUAACACAUGCAAGUCGAACGCUGAAGCUCAGCUUUUGUUGGGUGGAUGAGUGGCGAACGGGUGAGUAACACGUGAGUAACCUGCCUCCUUCUUUGGGAUAACGCCCGGAAACGGGUGCUAAUACUGGAUAUUCACUGGUCUUCGCAUGGGGGUUGGUGGAAAGGGUUUUUCUGGUGGGGGAUGGGCUCGCGGCCUAUCAGCUUGUUGGUGGGGUGAUGGCCUACCAAGGCUUUGACGGGUAGCCGGCCUGAGAGGGUGACCGGUCACAUUGGGACUGAGAUACGGCCCAGACUCCUACGGGAGGCAGCAGUGGGGAAUAUUGCACAAUGGGCGCAAGCCUGAUGCAGCGACGCCGCGUGAGGGAUGGAGGCCUUCGGGUUGUGAACCCCUUUCGCUCAUGGUCAAGCCGCAACAAUGGUUGUGGUGAGGGUAGUGGGUAAAGAAGCGCCGGCUAACUACGUG
This 483-nucleotide ribosomal RNA is filed under the name uncultured bacterium. RNAcentral describes it as "partial 16S ribosomal RNA". It matches the Rfam family "Bacterial small subunit ribosomal RNA", at positions 28 to 507 of the family's 1533-position model. The record is from RNAcentral.